Long non-coding RNA from Triticum dicoccoides, 2998 nucleotides. RefSeq lists it as uncharacterized. The transcript is spliced from 4 exons. The record is from RefSeq and is a predicted model, not a curated record. Lineage: Eukaryota; Viridiplantae; Streptophyta; Magnoliopsida; Poales; Poaceae.
AUCUGCAUAGAGUGGACGGACGGCAGACAAGUUAAAACAGACCAACGCAGCAGGAUUCCCGCAUAGUUAAGUCCUUGUUAGCUGUGCUAAUCUCCUCUACAUAUUUGGACGCCGGAUCCAGAUCUCACCACCCUCGUCUCUCACUCUCAGACUACCGUGCUCACAAGUCCUUUCGAGAUCUGAAGCUCAUAGCUAGAACUAGGAGAAAUGAGCUGGAGAGCAUGCUACUGGAACUUUGAAGUGAUAGUUGACCUAGGUUUAAUCUUUUCUUCGAAGCAUCUUGAGAGGCUAAAGUCUGUAAUUUUUGGCACCGUGUUGUUAUCGAGCAAUACAUUUUCAGGUUUGAGAUCUAAGUGAAAAAUUCGGCUCUCGUGAAGAUAAUGUAAACCCCCGCAAAUUCCUUUGAUUAUUUGAUAGCGCUCUCUACAUUCAGGAUGAUUGUGCAUAUGAUAUUCACAAUGAAGUUCUCGAACGCGCAUAUGAAUGAGAAGAAGUGAGAAUAUUCUCGAACACACAUAUGAAUGGGAAGAAGUGAGGUUGAACGGAUAAAGACAUAGCACAAAUAUAUUGUUUGAAUGCUGAGAUAUUGUGUUCACACAUAAUGAAAUAUGGAAAGAUACAUCCAAAAAAUCUGUGAAGACAGAUGAAUAAGCACCACUGCUCUGCUUGUGAGUAUCUACCUAUAUGAGGUCUUCAUGUCAAUAUGAUAGGUAAGAUCAUGUGGGACGCAACAUUGCAUUCCAUCUUUUAUUGUUCAAGAAAAAUAUAUCUAUUUCAAGCACCUCACACAUACAAUUUGAAAUUACUCACUACAUUAUUGUCUAUUAUGUAGUGUUUAUGAAGAUUAAAAGCUUCAAUUAUCCUAAAUAUGGAACUUCCUUUUUCUUUUUGUAGACGCAUUAAUCUGCAUGAAGAAAGCGCUAACAAAUAAUCAAGGAAUUUGCAAGGAUUUACCUUAUCUUCACACGAAUUGUAUUAUUCACUUAGAUCUCAAACAUGAAAAUAUAUUGUUGGAUGACAAUAUCAUGCCAAAAAUUCUGAACUUUUAUCUCUCAAAGUUGCUUCAAGGAAAAGCAAAACCAAGCUAUUGCUCGAAAACAGGGAGGCAGAAUUGGAACUGUUAAAAGUAUGCAUAGAAAGAAUGAUAAAAGUAUGAUUCAUUAGUUCUGCCGGUAAGUUUGUUCAUGGCACAUGACAUGCUCCACUAGUCUUAUUUAAUAGAGUUUGUGUACAUGUCCAUUUUCACCUUUGUUGCUCCGAGUUAGGGGAUGAGAUCAAGCAUCGUUGGUUGUUCAUCAAGCACAGAAGGGUUCCAAUGUGCUGCAGCAAGGCACACCUAAAGGUAUAACUUCUAAGAACUAGCAUGCCAAGCGAAAGAAAGAGGGAAGGUCUGAUACAAAGGAAAGGGUUGCAAGACCUGUAUAUUUUUCUAUACUUAUAGAGGUGACACAUGUUCCCUAAGGUAGGGUACGCGUCGUUGGUUAGCACAACACCACUAUCUGGAUCUUCUAUAGGACGUCGACAAUAUAUUUUGUUCAUACAAGAAUCAACUUGUUCCUAAAAAAACAAAGAAUCAGAUUUCCAGGAAAAACUGAAACUGCUAAAUUUUUCUACUCUGCAUCUUUGGGGAUAUAACGUGUUUGUUCAGUGACCAGUUUUGUAGGUUUUGAAGUUGGUUAAUUAGAGUUGGAAACACUAUUCCAUAUACUUUCUGUUGAUGCCUUUUCUUGCUUCCAAAUGAAGUUUGUCUUAUGUAUAAUAAAUUCCGGUUUAUACCCCUUCCUGUGACAUUUUUGACAGGAAUUACUCUAUUUAAGAGAUUUUCAUCCGUUUUAACCCAUUUAAAGGAAAUUGUGCCACAUUUUACUUCUAAUUUUUAGCACGUUCUGCUUCUCGGCUGUCGGUGUACACACGACACACCACCUGGGCUGUUUUCCUUGGCAGGCGGCAGCUGGUUUCCUCCACGUGGCCCUCCCACCUGCCUGGUUUAUCCCAACUUGUGCCACUGCCCAGCAUCUUUUUUUUUUUUGGCUUAGGCCUUCACUUAAAAGAGUUUAUACUACCAGUACCAGCACCAACAAUCGAUGUGUCUUUGGCUAAAUUUUUGUUGAGCACAUGUGUUCAUCUACUUCGAUGUGAUUGAUUUUUUUCUAGAAGGAGGUUUUACCCACGGGUUCUGCAUCAGGUGAUGCACACGUCCAUUUUAUUAAACAAAGUAGCAACGAAGUACAUAGUUCAACACAAGUAUCUAUGUGUACAAGUAUUGCUACGAAAAACUUAAUCUCUUCAAUUUAUCAGCCCUAUGAAAACAAAGUAUAUAUGUGUACAAUAUUGCUUUUGUACUUGGGAGCUCAUGGCAUAUAAGGCUGUUAGUCUAGUUUUGCGUGAACAGUUACAGGGAACUACCUAAAGGGUUCUAAUUGAUAUCACUUAUGUUACUAACCUUGAUGCAGAAAUGUUGGGAAACUGUUAGUUCGGUCUGAUUGCCUAUCGACUUCUUAAAUAUAACUUGGACACGCGCUCAGGGAACCUCAGGGGUGACGAGCCAGAAAGAAAGGGCCACCAAGGCACUAAAGAUUGGCCCCUCUCCUCAUACUCCUUGACAGUUAUUCUCACUAGGAUCAGUGUCACUAAUGUUAGAGAAAGUAACAUCUCCUCGACAACCCAGAAGUUUCCUGGUCCCAUUCUUGACUUCCGUACGGCCUUGGUCUCAAUUUUCUCACAUACAUCAUAUUGGAAUGACCUUCCUGUUUAGUAUAGGGGUUGCAUUUUAAGAUUGAUAGGCUGCUACUCCCUCGGUCUGAUUGCUUAUCGACUUUGUACUAGCUCUAGUAUUAAGUUGUAUUAAGCUUUUUUUGAGCAAACACAAAAUUGUACUAAGCUUAAGACACUUAUUUUAGGAUAGAGGGAGUUUUUUUUUCUAGGAACAAUGUUGGGAAACUGUUAGUUCGAUCUGAUUGCUUAUCGACUUAAAAAAUAUUGACUGCUACUUAUACAA